Molecule: ribosomal RNA, 1366 nt
Filed under: uncultured bacterium
Lineage: Bacteria
Description: bacterial SSU rRNA
Rfam family: Bacterial small subunit ribosomal RNA
Source: RNAcentral
AGAGUUUGAUCCUGGCUCAGGAUGAACGCGGGCGGCGUGCCUAACACAUGCAAGUCGAACGAUUAAACCGCCCUCGGGCGGACAUAGAGUGGCGAACGGGUGAGUAACACGUGACCAACCUGCCCCGCGCUCCGGGACAACCGCUGGAAACGGCGGCUAAUACCGGAUACUCCGGGAGGGCCCCAUGGCCCUGCCGGGAAAGCCGAGACGGCGCGGGAUGGGGUCGCGGCCCAUUAGGUAGACGGCGGGGUAACGGCCCACCGUGCCCGCGAUGGGUAGCCGGACUGAGAGGUCGACCGGCCACAUUGGGACUGAGAUACGGCCCAGACUCCUACGGGAGGCAGCAGUGGGGAAUUUUGCGCAAUGGGGGAAACCCUGACGCAGCAACGCCGCGUGCGGGACGAAGGCCCUCGGGUUGUAAACCGCUUUCAGCAGGGAAGAUCCAAGACGGUACCUGCAGAAGAAGCUCCGGCUAACUACGUGCCAGCAGCCGCGGUAAUACGUAGGGGGCGAGCGUUAUCCGGAUUCAUUGGGCGUAAAGCGCGCGUAGGCGGCCGCCUAAGCGGGACCUCUAACCCCGGGGCUCAACCCCGGGCCGGGUCCCGGACUGGGCGGCUCGAGUGCGGUAGAGGAGAGCGGAAUUCCCGGUGUAGCGGUGGAAUGCGCAGAUAUCGGGAAGAACACCGAUGGCGAAGGCAGCUCUCUGGGCCGUCACUGACGCUGAGGCGCGAAAGCUGGGGGAGCGAACAGGAUUAGAUACCCUGGUAGUCCCAGCCGUAAACGAUGGGCGCUAGGUGUGGGGGGACGAUCCCUCCGUGCCGCAGCCAACGCAUUAAGCGCCCCGCCUGGGGAGUACGGCCGCAAGGCUAAAACUCAAAGGAAUUGACGGGGGCCCGCACAAGCAGCGGAGCAUGUGGCUUAAUUCGAAGCAACGCGAAGAACCUUACCAGGGCUUGACAUGCCGAUGAAGCCGGGGAGACCCGGUGGCCGAGAGGAGUCGGCGCAGGUGGUGCAUGGCUGUCGUCAGCUCGUGUCGUGAGAUGUUGGGUUAAGUCCCGCAACGAGCGCAACCCCCGCCCCGUGUUGCCAGCAUUCAGUUGGGGACUCGCGGGGGACUGCCGGCGUCAAGCCGGAGGAAGGUGGGGACGACGUCAAGUCAUCAUGCCCCUUAUGCCCUGGGCUGCACACGUGCUACAAUGGCCGGUACAGAGGGUUGCCACCCCGCGAGGGGGAGCGGAUCCCGGAAAGCCGGUCCCAGUUCGGAUCGCAGGCUGCAACCCGCCUGCGUGAAGCCGGAGUUGCUAGUAAUCGCGGAUCAGCACGCCGCGGUGAAUACGUUCCCGGGCCUUGCACUCACCGCCCGUCA